AUUUGGGACCUUGAGAUCGGCCCAGUACUCCUUACGGAGCACCAAUGUGGGAAUAUUGCACAAUGGUCGGAAGCCUGAUGGCAGCGACGCCGCGUGGGGGAUGAAGGCCUUCGGUUUAAACUCCUUUCGACAGGGGACGAAGCGUAAGUGACGGUACCUGUAUAAGAAGCACCGGCUAACUACGUGCCAGCAGCCGCGGUAAUACGUAGGGUGCGAGCGUUGUCCGGAAUUACUGGGCGUAAAGAGCUCGUAGGUGGUUUGUCGCGUCGUCUGUGAAAUUCCGGGGCUUAACUCCGGGCAAACAGGCGAUACGGGCUGACUUGAGUGCUGUAGGGGAGACUGGAAUUCCUGGUGUAGCGGUGAAAUGCGCAGAUAUCAGGAGGAACACCGAUGGCGAAGGCAGGUCUCUGGGCAGUAACUGACGCUGAGGAGCGAAAGCAUGGGUAGCGAACAGGAUUAGAUACCCUGGUAGUCCAUGCCGUACACGGUGGGCGCUAGGUGUAGGGGGCUUCCACGUCUUCUGGACCGUAGCUGACGCAUUGAAGCGCCCUUCAUGGGGAUGGCGCCGCAAG
RNAcentral lists this ribosomal RNA (572 nucleotides) under uncultured Actinomycetes bacterium. Its description in RNAcentral is "bacterial SSU rRNA". It matches the Rfam family "Bacterial small subunit ribosomal RNA", at positions 312 to 892 of the family's 1533-position model. The record is from RNAcentral. Lineage: Bacteria; Bacillati; Actinomycetota; Actinomycetes.